GAUGAACGCUGGCGGCGUGCUUAACACAUGCAAGUCGAACGAUGAAGCCCAGCUUGCUGGGUGGAUUAGUGGCGAACGGGUGAGUAACACGUGAGUAACCUGCCCUUAACUCUGGGAUAAGCCUGGGAAACUGGGUCUAAUACCGGAUAGGAGCGCCUACCGCAUGGUGGGUGUUGGAAAGAUUUAUCGGUUUUGGAUGGACUCGCGGCCUAUCAGCUUGUUGGUGAGGUAAUGGCUCACCAAGGCGACGACGGGUAGCCGGCCUGAGAGGGUGACCGGCCACACUGGGACUGAGACACGGCCCAGACUCCUACGGGAGGCAGCAGUGGGGAAUAUUGCACAAUGGGCGAAAGCCUGAUGCAGCGACGCCGCGUGAGGGAUGACGGCCUUCGGGUUGUAAACCUCUUUCAGUAGGGAAGAAGCGAAAGUGACGGUACCUGCAGAAGAAGCACCGGCUAACUACGCG
RNAcentral lists this ribosomal RNA (466 nucleotides) under uncultured bacterium. Its description in RNAcentral is "partial 16S ribosomal RNA". It matches the Rfam family "Bacterial small subunit ribosomal RNA", at positions 28 to 507 of the family's 1533-position model. The record is from RNAcentral.